This 465-nucleotide ribosomal RNA is filed under the name uncultured bacterium. RNAcentral describes it as "partial 16S ribosomal RNA". It matches the Rfam family "Bacterial small subunit ribosomal RNA", at positions 339 to 795 of the family's 1533-position model. The record is from RNAcentral.
CUACGGGUGGCACCAGUCGAGGAUCAUUCGCAAUGCGCGAAAGCGUGACGGUGCGACGCCGCGUGCAGGAUGAAGGCCUUCGGGUUGUAAACUGCUGUCAUGAGGGAGCAACGGUCAGGGUGUUAAUAACACCCAGGCGUGAUAGUACCUCAAGAGGAAGCCACGGCUAACUCUGUGCCAGCAGCCGCGGUAAUACAGAGGCGGCGAGCGUUGUUCGGAUUUACUGGGCGUAAGGGGUGCGUAGGUGGUUCUGCAUGUCGGAUGUGAAAUCUCACUGCUCAACGGUGGAAUGGCAUUCGAAACUGCAGGGCUGGAGUACAGGAGAGGAGAGCGGAAUUCCUGGUGUAGCGGUGAAAUGCGUAGAUAUCAGGAGGAACACCGGUGGCGAAGGCGGCUCUCUGGACUGAUACUGACACUGAGGCACGAAAGCUGGGGGAGCAAACAGGAUUAGAUACCCCGGUAGUC